AUUUUCAUCAUAGAGUGGUGAUGGCGAGAGCGAGUGUGAAGGAGGCACCAAAGUUUGCCGUGACUAGAUCAAUGGAUGCCUUUCUGAAAUUGAAUGAUGUUUUAAACCAUACCCCGAUACACCCCUAGCAGAUGUCACUCAGCGCAGCAGCAAACGCCACGCCCGCCCCACCUGGUGUGAUGUAUGUGAUGGUACCAUCUUGUUAUCAUCAUCAAUGGGAAGUUUGCAAUCUGAUUAUAAGCAUGAAUGUUUGUUUGUCUAUUCUCAGUAAACGUUUUUGGCAGAAUUUGCUAGUAAAGGUGCCACUGAAUCUGAUAAACAUGACGUUCAUAUGCUCCAGUUCAGUUCAAUCUGCCCAUGCUCACCGGGUAUAAUUAGAGUCUUGUUUCCUAAUGCCUUUGCUCUCUGAAUUCGCCCCCCCCCCCUUAAUGGUUACUCUCAAUUCUUGCGUGGAAAGGACCAUAGUGGAUUGGAUAAUUGUCUCUUCUUUGGCUACAGUUUGUGUGCUUCAGAAUGCCAAUCUCUUCAAAUGUUAUGUGCAUUUGUUGCUGGAGGUUGUCCCAUAAACAAGUGUAGGGAUCUAUAUCUUUCUUGGCGUUGAUCCAUGGAAGCUAUGAAAUUCUGGUUGUUCUAAGUUUAACUGGAUUUGCAGUAUCAUGUGAUGUUUUCUUUACUGACUCCUGUGUUUGUGAGUUUUGUACUCCAAAUGGAAUGGGAAGAAUAUGUAUCUGCACUCUCUUAAAGGAUUAAUAAACUUUUAGACUUGCCACUGUAGUUCUGAAUUCUUUCCCCCCCUUUUAAUGAUUACUCUCAAUUCUUGCGUGGAAAGGACCAUAGUAGAUUGGAUAACUGUCUCUUCUUUGGCUACAGUUUGUGUGAUUCUGAAUGCCAAUCUCUUCAAAUGUUCUAUGCAUUUGUUGCUGGAGGUUGUUCCAUAAACAAGUGUAGGGAUCUAUAUCUUUCUUGGCGUUGAUCCAUGGAAGCUAUGAAAUUCUGGCUGUUCUAAGUUUAACUGGAUUUGCAGUAUCAUGUGAUGUUUUCUUUACUGACUCGUGUGUUUGUGAGUUUUGUACUCCAAAUGGAAUGGGAAGAAUAUGUAUCUGCACUCUGUUAAAGGAUUAAUAAACUUUUAGACUUGCCACUGUAGUUUAAAUAUAAUUUUGAAUCUGAGAUAGGUGCAGCAAACUGAAUCAGUGUGACUGUGUCUUGUCAUAGCCAUAGCAUCUUAUAUAAUACUUUCAAAUAAUGGUUACUCUUCUGCACCAAAUUUUGUCCAGCCUUCAGCAUGGGUUGUUCAUUGUCUCGACUUAGGUGCAUCAUUUUCUCAGGAUAUUAUCUUAUCAACUUGUUUGCAUGCAUAUUAUCCAUGUUCCCCACCAGGCCAUCAUAUCAUGUCAAGUCGUUCCGCCAUGCCCGCGUCCGUCAUGCCCACGAUGCAGCCAUGGUGGUAUGACCGGUUGCAGCCCAAUGUCACGGUGGGGAGGGAGGUCAGGGUGGUCCAAGCUCCGGCGAAGGUUGAUGAGGAAGAGGAGAGGUACGCGAGUUGCGGUGGUGGGGGGCUCGAGCCUGGAGGCAGUGUCGGGAGGUUGAGGAGAAAUAUGCAUUCCAUAGUGUGUGAGUGCAACAUGCUCGCUGGAAUGCCACACAAAUGGGUGCCAUUGGUAUCCAUGCUUGGGUCAAUUUGGUGGUCAACUCCAGCGGUGCCACUGUGUCGUGCUCUGCCUCAUCAUAUGUGGUGAUCUCAAGUGUGUUUUUAUUCUGAGAUAUAAGUUUUGUGUUUGCUGAGUCUGCUUCUGUAGGAGCACGAGGGACAUCGGUGCGACGCGCUGCGGCAUGGUUGCGGGAGGAGCUGCGGUGCAAGACAUGGAUUUGGG
RNAcentral lists this long non-coding RNA (1874 nucleotides) under Hordeum vulgare. RNAcentral's name for it is "long non-coding RNA (HVUL_LNC016923)". Lineage: Eukaryota; Viridiplantae; Streptophyta; Magnoliopsida; Poales; Poaceae. The record is from RNAcentral.